GAAAUGCGAUACUUGGUGUGAAUUGCAGAAUCCCGUGAACCAUCGAGUCUUUGAACGCAAGUUGCGCCCCAAGCCUUCUGGCCGAGGGCACGUCUGCCUGGGUGUCACAAAUCGUCGUCCCCCCAUCCUUUUGGAUAAGGGACGGAAGCUGGUCUCCCGUGUGAUACCGCAUGCGGUUGGCCAAAAUCCGAGCUUAGGACGUCAGGAACGUCUCGACAUGCGGUGGUGAAAAAUCCUUCUCUAUGUCGGUCGAUCCGGUCUCAUGAGCUCUCGAUGACCCAAAGUCCUCAACGCGACCCCAGGUCAGGCGGGAUCACCCGCUGAGUUUAA
This 330-nucleotide unclassified non-coding RNA is filed under the name uncultured fungus. RNAcentral describes it as "sequence contains ITS1". The stretch from base 1 to 107 matches the Rfam family "5.8S ribosomal RNA", at positions 50 to 154 of the family's 154-position model. Lineage: Eukaryota; Fungi. The record is from RNAcentral.